Molecule: ribosomal RNA, 379 nt
Filed under: uncultured organism
Description: partial 16S ribosomal RNA
Rfam family: Bacterial small subunit ribosomal RNA
Source: RNAcentral
GUAGGGGGGGCGAGCGUUGUCCGGAUUUAUUGGGCGUAAAGAGCUCGUAGGGCGGCUUGGCAAGUCGGGUCGUGAAAUCCCGAGGCUCAACCUCGGAUCGUCGGUCGAAACUGCCAUGGCUAGGGUCCGGUAGAGGAGAGUGGAAUUCCCGGUGUAGCGGUGAAAUGCGCAGAUAUCGGGAGGAACACCAGUAGCGAAGGCGGCUCUCUGGGCCGGUACCGACGCUGAGGAGCGAAAGCGUGGGGAGCAAACAGGAUUAGAUACCCUGGUAGUCCACGCCGUAAACGUUGGGUACUAGGUGUGGCGAGUUGUACCAACACUUGCCGUGCCGCAGCUAACGCAUUAAGUACCCCGCCUGGGGAGUACGGUCGCAAGGCUA